UAGGUGGGGUGUGUAAGCGCGGCGACGUGUUGAGCUAACCCAUACUAAUUACCCGUGAGGCUUAACCAUACAACACCCAAGAAGUGUUCU
Molecule: ribosomal RNA, 90 nt
Filed under: Aeromonas hydrophila
Lineage: Bacteria; Pseudomonadati; Pseudomonadota; Gammaproteobacteria; Aeromonadales; Aeromonadaceae
Also listed under: 1 other name
Description: partial 23S ribosomal RNA
Source: RNAcentral